Molecule: ribosomal RNA, 687 nt
Filed under: Pseudoalteromonas sp. UST020129-028
Lineage: Bacteria; Pseudomonadati; Pseudomonadota; Gammaproteobacteria; Alteromonadales; Pseudoalteromonadaceae
Description: bacterial SSU rRNA
Rfam family: Bacterial small subunit ribosomal RNA
Source: RNAcentral
GGGGAUAUUGACAAUGGGCGCAAGCCUGAUGCAGCCUGCCGCGUGUGUGAAGAAGGCCUUCGGGUUGUAAAGCACUUUCAGUCAGGAGGAAAGGUUAGUCGUUAAUACCGGCUAGCUGUGACGUUACUGACAGAAGAAGCACCGGCUAACUCCGUGCCAGCAGCCGCGGUAAUACGGAGGGUGCGAGCGUUAAUCGGAAUUACUGGGCGUAAAGCGUACGCAGGCGGUUUGUUAAGCGAGAUGUGAAAGCCCCGGGCUCAACCUGGGAACUGCAUUUCGAACUGGCAAACUAGAGUGUGAUAGAGGGUGGUAGAAUUUCAGGUGUAGCGGUGAAAUGCGUAGAGAUCUGAAGGAAUACCGAUGGCGAAGGCAGCCACCUGGGUCAACACUGACGCUCAUGUACGAAAGCGUGGGGAGCAAACAGGAUUAGAUACCCUGGUAGUCCACGCCGUAAACGAUGUCUACUAGAAGCUCGGAACCUCGGUUCUGUUUUUCAAAGCUAACGCAUUAAGUAGACCGCCUGGGGAGUACGGCCGCAAGGUUAAAACUCAAAUGAAUUUGACGGGGGCCCGCACAAGCGGUGGAGCAUGUGGUUUAAUUCGAUGCAACGCGAAGAACCUUACCUACACUUNACAUACAGAGAACUUACCAGAGAUGGUUUGGUGCCUCGGGAANUCUAACAGGUCG